RNAcentral lists this ribosomal RNA (875 nucleotides) under Ganoderma gibbosum. RNAcentral describes it as "LSU rRNA". It matches the Rfam family "Eukaryotic large subunit ribosomal RNA", at positions 77 to 939 of the family's 3401-position model. The record is from RNAcentral. Lineage: Eukaryota; Fungi; Basidiomycota; Agaricomycetes; Polyporales; Polyporaceae.
CCCCUAGUAACUGCGAGUGAAGCGGGAAAAGCUCAAAUUUAAAAUCUGGCGGUCUUUGGCCGUCCGAGUUGUAGUCUGGAGAAGUGCUUUCCGCGCUGGACCGUGUAUAAGUCUCUUGGAACAGAGCGUCAUAGAGGGUGAGAAUCCCGUCUUUGACACGGACUACCAGUGCUUUGUGAUGCGCUCUCAAAGAGUCGAGUUGUUUGGGAAUGCAGCUCAAAAUGGGUGGUGAAUUCCAUCUAAAGCUAAAUAUUGGCGAGAGACCGAUAGCGAACAAGUACCGUGAGGGAAAGAUGAAAAGCACUUUGGAAAGAGAGUUAAACAGUACGUGAAAUUGCUGAAAGGGAAACGCUUGAAGUCAGUCGCGUUGUCCGGAACUCAGCCUUGCUUUUGCUUGGUGCACUUUCCGGAUGACGGGUCAGCAUCGAUUUUGACCGUCGGAAAAGGGCUGGAGUAAUGUGGCACCUCCGGGUGUGUUAUAGACUCUGGUCGCAUACGGCGGUUGGGAUCGAGGAACGCAGCGCGCCGCAAGGCAGGGGUUCGCCCACUUUCGCGCUUAGGAUGCUGGCAUAAUGGCUUUAAACGACCCGUCUUGAAACACGGACCAAGGAGUCUAACAUACCUGCGAGUGUUUGGGUGGAAAACCCGAGCGCGUAAUGAAAGUGAAAGUUGAGAUCCCUGUCGUGGGGAGCAUCGACGCCCGGACCAGACGUUCUCUGACGGAUCCGCGGUAGAGCAUGUAUGUUGAGACCCGAAAGAUGGUGAACUAUGCCUGAAUAGGGUGAAGCCAGAGGAAACUCUGGUGGAGGCUCGUAGCGAUUCUGACGUGCAAAUCGAUCGUCAAAUUUGGGUAUAGGGGCGAGAGACUAAUCGAA